This 442-nucleotide ribosomal RNA is filed under the name Costasiella usagi. RNAcentral describes it as "partial 16S ribosomal RNA". It matches the Rfam family "Archaeal large subunit ribosomal RNA", at positions 1920 to 2665 of the family's 2987-position model. The record is from RNAcentral. Lineage: Eukaryota; Metazoa; Mollusca; Gastropoda; Costasiellidae.
AGUCUUAAGAUAUUUAUUUAAGAUAAAACCUGCCCAGUGCAAAUUUUUGUUAACGGCCGCAGUACUUUGACUGUGCUAAGGUAGCAUAAUCAGUUGGCUUUUAAUUGGAGUCUGGAAUGAAUGGAAUCAUGGGGCUGAGCUGUCUCACUUAAACUUAUUUUAACUUAUUUAUUAGGUGAAAAUACCUAACAACAGGAAAAAAGACGAGAAGACCCUAGGAGCUUUUAAUAAAAGAAAUAUAUAUUUAUUUCCAUCUUUUUUGUUGGGGCAACAUUUGAGGAUAAACAAUCUCUACUUUGACUUGCCGACUAUGUAAGUAAGAUUAAGCUACCCUAGGGAUAACAGCGUAAUACUAUAUUUGGGUUUGCGACCUCGAUGUUGGACUAGGAAAUUGUUUGGUUAGCCGCCAAACUAGUUAGGUUCUGUUCGAACUUUUUAUCCU